AAUCAACGCUGGCGGCGUGCCUCAGACAUGCAAGUCGAACGAGAACCUCCCUUCGGGGAGGGGACAGUGGCGCACGGGUGAGUAACACGUGGGUAAUUUACCUUUGGGUGGGGAACAACAGCCGGAAACGGCUGCUAAUACCGCAUAAUGCAGCGGCUCGACAUCGAGACAGUUGUUAAAGCGGGGGAUCGCAAGACCUCGCGCCUGAAGAGAAGCCUGCGGCGGAUUAGCAGUUGGUAGGGUAAUGGCCUACCAAGGCGACGAUCUGUAACCGGCCUGAGAGGGCGGUCGGUCACACUGACACUGACAUACGGGUCAGACUCCUACGGGAGGCAGCAGUCGGGAAUUUUGGGCAAUGGGCGAAAGCCUGACCCAGCAACGCCGCGUGAAGGAUGAAG
This 398-nucleotide ribosomal RNA is filed under the name uncultured bacterium. Its description in RNAcentral is "bacterial SSU rRNA". It matches the Rfam family "Bacterial small subunit ribosomal RNA", at positions 32 to 413 of the family's 1533-position model. The record is from RNAcentral.